UAGCUCAGUUGGUAGAGCAUGGUGUUUGCAACACCAGGGUUGUGGGUUCGAUUCUCAC
This is a non-coding RNA of Salmo salar (Atlantic salmon), 58 nucleotides long. Lineage: Eukaryota; Metazoa; Chordata; Actinopteri; Salmoniformes; Salmonidae. The record is from Rfam.